Molecule: ribosomal RNA, 468 nt
Filed under: uncultured bacterium
Lineage: Bacteria
Description: partial 16S ribosomal RNA
Rfam family: Bacterial small subunit ribosomal RNA
Source: RNAcentral
GACGAACGCUGGCGGCGUGCUUAACACAUGCAAGUCGAACGGAAAGGCCCUGCUUUUGUGGGGUGCUCGAGUGGCGAACGGGUGAGUAACACGUGAGUAACCUGCCCUUGACUUUGGGAUAACUUCAGGAAACUGGGGCUAAUACCGGAUAGGAGCUCCUGCUGCAUGGUGGGGGUUGGAAAGUUUCGGCGGUUGGGGAUGGACUCGCGGCUUAUCAGCUUGUUGGUGGGGUAGUGGCUUACCAAGGCUUUGACGGGUAGCCGGCCUGAGAGGGUGACCGGCCACAUUGGGACUGAGAUACGGCCCAGACUCCAACGGGAGGCAGCAGUGGGGAAUAUUGCACAAUGGGCGGGAGCCUGAGGCAGCAACGCCGCGUGCGGGAUGACGGCCUUCGGGGUGUAAACCGCUUUCGCCUGUGACGAAGCGUGAGUGACGGUAAUGGGUAAAGAAGCACCGGCUAACUACGUG